UUUCUAAGGAUGAUCAAGAAUUGGAACUCUUUAUCAAUAAAGAAUAUUCCUUUUUGAUCUCAUUAGACAUACAGGUCUUAAACAAUUUCGUUUAAGCCUUUGCAUAUGACACCACUCUUUAUGAACCCCUUCUUCAAAGAGAGGUUCCUCUUUGAUAAAAAGAGAUAGCCAACUUGAUGAGAAAGUUCUCCUAAGAGCCAAGUGUUCAUAUGUUUAAGUUAUACAAGCAGGCUAGCCGUCUUCGUUUCUCUUUCUUCAGAUGAUGAUCCCAAGCCUUCUGGCGAUCUCUUAAGUAUUAAGGUUCCCUCAUUUUUAAAGGGUGCUUUAAGGAAAAGAGCUCUAAAAAGCUUUUGUGUUAAGAGUAUGCCGGGGAAGGUUUUCCGGUUUAUCCCGGAGGGCUUGUAGCUCAGUUGGUUAGAGCGCGCGCUUGAUAAGCGUGAGGUCGGAGGUUCAAGUCCUCCCAGGCCCACCAAUCACUCUAUCAAUUUCAUAAAGCGCUGGCGGACUUACUUAUAGGCAAGAAGUCUAUAAACCGAUAAAGCCUAUAAAUUUGUAAGAAACUUACAUAACUUUCUGGGAAAGGGCCUUAAGUGCACUUGUAAAAGGACUGAAGAGUGAUGUGAUCACUUAAAAUGAGGUUACUCUUUGAGAGGUCCGUAGAGAAAAGACAUUUGUUUUGGCAAGGUGUUUACAAAGGGCAUUAAGAGAGGAGCUUUACUGUUUGCUUUCAGCAAUUGAGAGUCAAAGCUCUUUAAAGGCAAAGUAUCCCAUUUAAAUUGGUCUUUCCUGUAAGUCUUCUUAUUUUGAGAGUUUGGAAUGGGUUAUGCUAUUUUAGGGGCCGUAGCUCAGCUGGGAGAGCACCUGCUUUGCAAGCAGGGGGUCGUCGGUUCGAUCCCGUCCGGCU
RNAcentral lists this unclassified non-coding RNA (904 nucleotides) under Candidatus Bartonella gerbillinarum. RNAcentral describes it as "partial 16S-23S ribosomal RNA intergenic spacer". The stretch from base 396 to 469 matches the Rfam family "tRNA". The record is from RNAcentral. Lineage: Bacteria; Pseudomonadati; Pseudomonadota; Alphaproteobacteria; Hyphomicrobiales; Bartonellaceae.